This is a small nucleolar RNA of Grammomys surdaster, 132 nucleotides long. RefSeq annotates it as small nucleolar RNA SNORA17. Lineage: Eukaryota; Metazoa; Chordata; Mammalia; Rodentia; Muridae. The record is from RefSeq and is a predicted model, not a curated record. The transcript has a single exon.
CCUGUCCUUAGAAGCCUUGCAGGCGUGGUUGCUGUGUCACAUAUGUGUCAAUGGGUGGCAGAGAGGAGAGAGACUAUGUCUAUGAUCAGUGUUCUGACCUAUGAACAUCUGAAUGAUUAGUAGCCUAACAUU